UACGUAGGUGGCAAGCGUUGUCCGGAAUCACUGGGCGUAAAGCGCGCGCAGGCGGCGAUCUACGUCUGGGGUGAAAGCCCGGAGCUCAACUCCGGGACUGCCUUGGAUACGGGAUCGCUUGAGGAUUGGAGAGGCAAGGGGAAUUCCACGUGUAGCGGUGAAAUGCGUAGAUAUGUGGAGGAACACCUGUGGCGAAGGCGGCUUGCUGGGCCUUACCUGACGCUGAGGAGCGAAAGCGUGGGGAGCGAACAGG
RNAcentral lists this ribosomal RNA (253 nucleotides) under uncultured bacterium. Its description in RNAcentral is "partial 16S ribosomal RNA". It matches the Rfam family "Bacterial small subunit ribosomal RNA", at positions 524 to 776 of the family's 1533-position model. The record is from RNAcentral.